This is a transfer RNA of 91 nucleotides. It matches the Rfam family "tRNA". From Rfam's summary of the family: Transfer RNA (tRNA) molecules are approximately 80 nucleotides in length. Their secondary structure includes four short double-helical elements and three loops (D, anti-codon, and T loops). Further hydrogen bonds mediate the characteristic L-shaped molecular structure. tRNAs have two regions of fundamental functional importance: the anti-codon, which is responsible for specific mRNA codon recognition, and the 3' end, to which the tRNAs corresponding amino acid is attached (by aminoacyl-tRNA synthetases). tRNAs cope with the degeneracy of the genetic code in two manners: having more than one tRNA (with a specific anti-codon) for a particular amino acid; and 'wobble' base-pairing, i.e. permitting non-standard base-pairing at the 3rd anti-codon position. The record is from Rfam.
ACACCGUUGGUGAAGUGGUUAUCAUGCUUGCCUUCCAUAAUGGAGACGUUGUUGAUAGCAAGCGGCUCGGGUUCGAUUCCCGAACGGUGUA